CCAAUUUUAAAAAGAACAGAAAGCUGUUUGCUUUCUCUCCCUCCCCUAUUUCUCUCCGUCGAUCAUGUUCUCCACCGCCCGCCGUACCACCACCGUACCCGGUGGCCGACGAAGCGCGGAGAUGGGCUUCUUAGCCUCGUUUUGAGGCACAUUCGAAGGCCAAGCCUUCUCAACCCCAAAGAAAUCGAAAGAAAGGUCCCCCCUCUCCCCGGUUCGACUUCGGCGAUUGGAGAAGAGAUCUCCAGCGAUGAGUCUGUGGGAAGAUCAAGGUGAGGUUACCUUUCUCUUUACCUUUUCGUUUAUUUUCGUACAUGAAACAGAAAAAAGAACUAAAACACAAUAAAAAAAACAAAGAAAUCAAAACCAAGAACUAGAUGAAAGAAACUAUUGUAAAAACCAAAAAUCACCUUUUAUUUCUUGUUUUUUUAAGAAAAAGGGACCGAACCCCAUACAACUGAUUUUGCUUGGCUUUUUAUAGCCAUUUUACAUGAGUUCUUUAUCUAUUUUUGUCUCUGUUUUGCGUGUUUGGUUUCAUCUUGCAGGGAGUCAGAGGAGUUGGUGGAGCAGGUGAGGCCGUGCGUCGGCGGUCAGAGGAAAGGUGAGGCAGCCAGGAGCAGGUGCAGCGAUGGGACGUGCGGCGGCCGGCGGAGUUGGUGGGUCUGCUGGUAUGGGUUCUUUUGUUUCUUUCUUGGGUCCGGGCAAAUGGGCCUGCAACAG
RNAcentral lists this long non-coding RNA (717 nucleotides) under Gossypium barbadense (sea-island cotton). Its description in RNAcentral is "long non-coding RNA (GBAR_LNC008753)". The record is from RNAcentral. Lineage: Eukaryota; Viridiplantae; Streptophyta; Magnoliopsida; Malvales; Malvaceae.